This 494-nucleotide ribosomal RNA is filed under the name uncultured bacterium. RNAcentral's name for it is "partial 16S ribosomal RNA". It matches the Rfam family "Bacterial small subunit ribosomal RNA", at positions 28 to 506 of the family's 1533-position model. The record is from RNAcentral.
GACGAACGCUGGCGGCGUGCCUAAUACAUGCAAGUAGAACGCUGAAGGAGGAGCUUGCUUCUCUGGAUGAGUUGCGAACGGGUGAGUAACGCGUAGGUAACCUGCCUGGUAGCGGGGGAUAACUAUUGGAAACGAUAGCUAAUACCGCAUAAUAGUAGAUGUUGCAUGACAUUUGCUUAAAAGGUGCAAUUGCAUCACUACCAGAUGGACCUGCGUUGUAUUAGCUAGUUGGUGAGGUAACGGCUCACCAAGGCGACGAUACAUAGCCGACCUGAGAGGGUGAUCGGCCACACUGGGACUGAGACACGGCCCAGACUCCUACGGGAGGCAGCAGUAGGGAAUCUUCGGCAAAGGACGGAAGUCUGACCGAGCAACGCCGCGUGAGUGAAGAAGGUUUUCGGAUCGUAAAGCUCUGUUGUAAGAGAAGAACGAGUGUGAGAGUGGAAAGUUCACACUGUGACGGUAUCUUACCAGAAAGGGACGGCUAACUACGU